RNAcentral lists this ribosomal RNA (253 nucleotides) under uncultured bacterium. Its description in RNAcentral is "partial 16S ribosomal RNA". It matches the Rfam family "Bacterial small subunit ribosomal RNA", at positions 524 to 776 of the family's 1533-position model. The record is from RNAcentral.
UACGUAGGGGGCAAGCGUUGUCCGGAAUCAUUGGGCGUAAAGCGCGCAUAGGCGGCCCGGUAAGUCCGUUGUGAAAGUCAAAGGCUCAACCUUUGAACACCGAUGGAUACUGCCGGGCUAGAGUCCGGAAGAGGCGAGUGGAAUUCCUGGUGUAGCGGUGGAAUGCGCAGAUAUCAGGAGGAACACCAAUAGCGAAGGCAGCUCGCUGGGACGGUACUGACGCUGAGGCGCGAAAGCGUGGGGAGCGAACAGG